UACAGAGAUCUCAAGAGUUGUUCGGAUUCAUUGGGCGUAAAGGGUGCGUAGGCGGCGCGGUAAGUCGGGUGUGAAAUCUCGAAGCUUAACUCCGAAACUGCAUCCGAUACUGCCGUGCUUGAGGACUGGAGAGGAGACUGGAAUUUACGGUGUAGCGGUGAAAUGCGUAGAUAUCGUAAGGAACACAAGUGGCGAAGGCGGCCGACUGGUCCGGUUCUGACGCUGAGGCGCGAAAGCGUGGGGAGCAAACAGG
RNAcentral lists this ribosomal RNA (253 nucleotides) under uncultured bacterium. Its description in RNAcentral is "partial 16S ribosomal RNA". It matches the Rfam family "Bacterial small subunit ribosomal RNA", at positions 524 to 776 of the family's 1533-position model. The record is from RNAcentral.